This 434-nucleotide ribosomal RNA is filed under the name uncultured bacterium. RNAcentral's name for it is "partial 16S ribosomal RNA". It matches the Rfam family "Bacterial small subunit ribosomal RNA", at positions 29 to 507 of the family's 1533-position model. The record is from RNAcentral.
AGCGAACGCUGGCGGCAGGCCUAACACAUGCAAGUCGAACGAACCUUUCGGGGUUAGUGGCGGACGGGUGAGUAACACGUGGGAACGUGCCUUUAGGUUCGGAAUAACUCAGGGAAACUUGUGCUAAUACCGAAUGUGCCCUUCGGGGGAAAGAUUUAUCGCCUUUAGAGCGGCCCGCGUCUGAUUAGCUAGUUGGUUGAGGUAAUGGCUCACCAAGGCGACGAUCAGUAGCUGGUCUGAGAGGAUGAUCAGCCACAUUGGGACUGAGACACGGCCCAAACUCCUACGGGAGGCAGCAGUGGGGAAUCAUGCGCAAUGGGCGAAAGCCUGACGCAGCCAUGCCGCGUGAAUGAUGAAGGUCUUAGGAUUGUAAAAUUCUUUCACCGGGGACGAUAAUGACGGUACCCGGAGAAGAAGCCCCGGCUAACUUCGUG